This 301-nucleotide ribosomal RNA is filed under the name uncultured bacterium. Its description in RNAcentral is "partial 16S ribosomal RNA". It matches the Rfam family "Bacterial small subunit ribosomal RNA", at positions 509 to 807 of the family's 1533-position model. The record is from RNAcentral.
CAGUAGCCGCGGUAAUACGAAGGGUGCUAGCGUUAAUCGGAAUUACUGGGCGUAAAGCGUGCGUAGGCGGUGAGUUAAGUCUGCUGUGAAAUCCCCGGGUUCAACCUGGGAAUGGCAGUGGAUACUGGCUCGCUAGAGUGUGUUAGGGGAUGGUAGAAUUCCCGGUGUAGCGGUGAAAUGCGUAGAGAUCGGGAGGAACAUUAGUGGCGAAGGCGGCCAUCUGGGACAACACUGACGCUGAGGCACGAAAGCGUGGGGAGCAAACAGGAUUAGAUACCCCAGUAGUCCCUGUCUCUUAUAC